This 76-nucleotide transfer RNA is filed under the name Halopseudomonas phragmitis. Its description in RNAcentral is "tRNA-Thr". It matches the Rfam family "tRNA". Rfam says of the family: Transfer RNA (tRNA) molecules are approximately 80 nucleotides in length. Their secondary structure includes four short double-helical elements and three loops (D, anti-codon, and T loops). Lineage: Bacteria; Pseudomonadati; Pseudomonadota; Gammaproteobacteria; Pseudomonadales; Pseudomonadaceae. RNAcentral also lists the same sequence under 1 other name. The record is from RNAcentral.
GCCGGAGUAGCUCAGCUGGUAGAGCACGUCAUUCGUAAUGAUGGGGUCGCAGGUUCAACUCCUGUCUCCGGCACCA